UGCCUUCAUAAGUGAAGUGCUUCUGAGGACGCGCAGUCCUGUUUUCUCGUGAUAAUUUUCGUCUCUUUUGUGUCGCUGUUUGUGUGCAUGGGGUGAUUGGUCAUAAUAAUCGAAUAAUGCCUUCAUAAGUGCAGUGCUUCUGGGGACGCGCAGUUUUGUUUUCUCGCGAUAAUUUUCGUCUCUUUUGUGUCGCUUUUUGUUUUCUCGCGAUAAUUUUCGUCUCUUUUGUGUCGCUGUUUGUGUGCAUGGGGUGAUUGGUCAUAAUAAUCGAAUAAUGCCUUCAUAAGUGCAGUGCUUCUGGGGACGCGCAGUCCUGUUUUCUCGCGACAAUUUUCGUCGUAAAUGAUCGUAAAAAUUUAACAUUCAGUUUUAGUAUUAACUCAUCAAACUAUCGAUUUUAUGAAGAGUAAAGCGUCAUUUAUUUACUAUUUUUGAAAUUUGCUCGCGUUAUCUAAAUGGUAAAAACAGUAAAAAUAUACUGAUAAGUCCAGCCCAUAGCACUACUGCUCGGCUGGCACGCGUACGAUAAAAAUAAACUAUUUUAAAUAAUCAAUUAUCUAUCUUUCCGCAGCCGGCUGCCUAAGAUUUAAAAAAUUUCAACCGAUAAACAAAAUGCUCAUGGUCACAUCACUGCCACUCGUGAAUCCUGACCUCAUACCCAUCUACUAACCCCCUCAAAACUCAUGUGAUACUUUGUGGGAGAAGCAGUCGAUUGGGCGGUCUCUAUCACUCAAGUAUCGGACUAACAUUCCCAUCCACUUCCCCGUGACCCUACCACUGGUCGUGGCCGGCGCCGGUAUUGAUCAGCAUGAUAGGGGCCUUUGAGAAGUUGCGAAGCGAGGAAAGAUAGCACCCACCCAUCUUCCACGGCUCGUGGAUGUAACUUCUGGAGGUCCUGGUCAAUAACGGAGUAGCAACUGCGGGUGGGCACCUAUGCUUAUGCUUAUGCUUAUGCUCGUACGUUCUGGUAGUAGAAUCGAAUGUGCUCACACGUUCCACUAGCGUUGGUGUCUGUUGACGAAGGCUGGAUAGGAGCCUACGAUUCCGGCAAAGGCUCACGGGCUGCUCGGCCAUGCUGGUGUCUUGUACUCGGUCGAGAACUGAAAGCUGGAGAAUUUUCAGAGCACGAAGUCAUUUGAUUUGAACGGUACUCGCCUGUGGGGGCGGCUUGGGAAACCCCCUCUCGAUCUCCGAACACAGGACCGGGACGGUUGGCUGGGAACUCGACUGCGACGGAGUGAUCGGGGGCUUUCAUAGUGCCGUAUACCGUGCGUCCCGGUGAUGGUCGUGUCGUCAGGUGGCUGUCUUGGCGUGGGUCACGUCGUUCAGGACAUGGGCUGGAAUCCGAGAAAAUGUUAAGGUCGAAACAGUCAUUCGAGCUGGUGAUUGGAUACUGGCCUGUGAAAGUAGGUUGGAAGACCCCCUCACGACAUCUGAACGCAGGUCCGGGACGGCUGUGCUGGUCGCUGGCUGGGAACGCGACUGCGUCAGAGCGUUUGGGGGCUUCCUUACGACCAUAUAACAUGCGCCCCGGUGAUGACAAGGCAGCAAUAUGAGAAGUCGUUCCGUGUAAGGCCAACCGAUGGCAAGAAUUCGAAGGACUGUCAGGGCACGGUAAAUCUGAUAACGGAUGGUACUCGCCUGUGAAUGUGGCCUGGAAGACCCCCUCCUGACACCCGAACACAGGCCCGGGACGGCUGUGCUGGUCGCUGGCUGAGAGCUCGACUGUGACGGGGUGAUUGAGAGCUUCCAUAGGAUUUUCUAACUGGCGUCCCGGUGAUGACAGAGCGGCAAAUGAUGGCUGACUAAGACGUUGCGAGAUUAUUCCAGGCGGCUCUGUUCGCUGCAUACAGAGCUUAGCUCUGUUCAACCAUACAGAGCAGGUAAAGAGUUUUUAUUGAGCAUGUAGACUAGGCCGUCCCAAAAAAAAUUAAAAGUUGUCAAAUCUUCGGUGCUCACCCCUAGAAUGAUAGAUUAGGAUGCCAGGAACAAUGUUUUCAUACAACAAAAAAAUCCCAGAAAUGGUUUACAACUCGCGCGCGGAGCUUGAAUGAAAAUGGUGCAUUUUUCGAGUAUUUUUCAGAAAUGUGCGUAACAAUCAUACUAAAGUCAUUCAAAUUUGGUCGCCUUGGGCUUCAAGUUAUAGUUUAAUGUCCCCUGAACAAAUUCCUGUACAGACAUAGUCCAUAAAAGCUUGUGUUUGGGCAUGGCAGGGCGUUUUAGGGAGAAAAAUGUGUAUUUUUAGGCAAAAAAUUUCAAAAAUCGCUCCCCAAAACGAGCCAAAAAAUUUUGCAGCCAAAACUAAUGCAUUCAGCUUAUAGGAAAUUUUACGCAGAUCAUUUUGCUUUUUUUAACAUUCAAUUUAUGUCCACGCAAAGCCGAGAUAUUUGCAUUUUAGUGAACAAAAAGUGACGUUUUUUCAAAAUUCUUGGUAUAUAAGCGUUUUUAGUAUAAAACAUUGGCUACUAUGAUUAAAAACAGGAAGGCAUAUAUUUUGCUCGCUCAAAAACGAUAUUUGUUAAUAACCCAAGUAACCAUCCAGCACUAACAAAAGUCACAAAUCAGCAGUAAAUUGGCACCUCUAUUGCUGAUUAGCCAUUCAACAGCAUUGGUUAAUGCGAAUCAGCACUUAUUUAACAGCACAGUCAAAAGCUGUUAUAGUGCUGAUUUAAAGCCACGACUGGCAACACCUUCCAGAUUUUUUUUUUAUAAAACUGGCAACACGAUUCUGGUUAUGAGUGAAGAGUGAGAGAGAGGGAAAAAGCAAAACAAACUGUUCGCUCGCUCAGGCUCCUUCAAGUGGGCAGAUAUUUUUGAAAAUUCGCUCAAAUCCGAGCUCAAAUCUUUCCUUAUUUUGCAAUCUUUUCAUUAUUCCAACAUCGUCUCGUUUCAACCAUUCCAGUGAAAAGGCAGCUGGUGGUCCUGCGAUCAGCCCCACCCGGGUAAUGCUGCAGCAUUCGAUGGCCUGUGGGAUGUCCGGAACGUGCAAGGAAGUUGAAUGUAUGCUGUUCGACGACGAUCUGGGAGUCAGAAAUUUGGUUUGUGUGAACCGUGCGAAAAAUAGCUGAAUAAAAACAUUGUCCUAGGAGGUAACUGUAGGACAAUCAAAUAAAUGUAAAAAGUGAUUCAUUGUACACAAAAUUGCUUUAUAGAUAAAUAUGGUUUGUCAAAUAAAUCAAUUGUUUUCCAUUGGUUUCAAAAAAAGAGAAGAGAAAAACUUGUUAUUUUGUGUUGACACGAACUAAUAACCAGCUAUAAAAACACAUCAAACAUUACUUCUCAUUUAGCCGUGAGGACACGGGCUCUGGAAUCACCACAUCAGCGACGUCAACUACUAUAAUCACACAGAUGUUCUAAAAAUAAUCGUCUUCGUUCAUUCAGCAGGCAGUCGGUAACGCAGUAUAGUAAACAAACCAAAAAUAGAAUAGAGAGAACGUGGAGCGGGCAAUAUUUUUGCCUCUCUGUUUAUUUUUCCGCAGGGUUGGACAUCAAAAGUAGAGAACAGCACUAAACCAGCCGAGUAAAGUCCAAAAGCGGCCAUUAUUCAGCACUAUAGUAGCUGUCAGUGCUGAGGCAAAAACUGUUUAGCUUUUACCCGUAGCUGUAAAAGCGCAUUUAGUGCCGAAGUAUAGCUGAUUAUUAGUGCUGGAUGGUUACUUGGGAACAUUUCAUGAAAAAACAUGACAUUUUCUCACAGUGUGACGUAAACGACAAAUAAUCAUAAAUCAAAAUUAAUUUUAUUAAAGUUCAUAUCUCCAUGCUGUAAACGUGAUUUUUUUGUAUGUACAUUCGAAUGAAACAAAUUUAUUUAUAAAAAAAACUAUUUUUUUCAAAAAAAGUUACCCCUUAGAGCGUUAUUUGUUCAUAUCUACAAGAGCACAGAGCAGUACUUAUAAAUAUGUCGUUUACGUCACACUGUGAGAAAAUGUCAUGUUUUUUAAUGAAAUGUUAUUAACAAAUAUCGUUUUUGAGCGAGCAAAAUAAAAAUAUCCAAAAUAUAUGCCUUACCGUUUGUAAUCAUAGUAGCCAAUGUUUUAUGCUAAAAACGCUUAUAUACCAAGAAUUUUGAAAAUUCGUCACUUUUUGUUCACUAAAAUGCAAAUAUCUCGGCUUUGCGUGGACAUAAAUUGAAUGUUAAAAAAAGCAAAAUGAUCUGCGUAAAAUUUCCUAUAAGCUGAAUGCAUUAGUUUUGGCUGCAAAAUUUUUUGGCUCGUUUUGGGGAGUGAUUUUUGAAAUUUUUUGCCUAAAAAAUACACAUUUUUCUCCCUAAAACGCCCUGCCAUGCCCAAACACAAGCUUUUAUGGACUAUGUCUGUACAGGAAUUUGUUCAGGGGACAUUAAACUAUAACUUGAAGCCCAAGGCGACCAAAUUUGAAUGACUUUAGUAUGAUUGUUACGCGCAUUUCUGAAAAAUACUCGAAAAAUGCACCAUUUUCAUUCAAGCUCCGCGCGCGAGUUGUAAACCAUUUUUGGGAUUUUUUUGUUGUAUGAAAACAUUGUUCCUGGCAUCCUAAUCUAUCAUUCUAGGGGUGAGCACCGAAGAUUUGACAACUUUUCAUUUUUUUGGGACGGCCUAAUGUAGACCUCGAUGCGUCUCUGCGUUAGGGACUACGUCAUCGUCAUCGUCAUCGCUUGUCCAGAUCGGCACAGCAUAAAGCAUGGCAGGUCUGAAAAUUUGUUUACAAAUUUACAGUUUAUUCAUGAGACAAAGUCUAGAAUUCCUGUUUAUAAGGGUCCUGUGGUCUAUUGGUUACAGGUUUCGUUUGAUAAACGGAAGGCCGUGGUUUGAAACCCACAUGGCUUGGCACCACCUUUCCUCGUACUUUUCACAAAAUGUGCUUGGAGGGACAAAAAAAAACUGCUUAGCAAGAGUCCCGGGCUUUCGGGAUUUCACUGGGAACACAUCCUAAGUAGCGUAAUAAAAAAGUGCACUUCAGUUCUGGCGACACAUAUGGAAAGUACAACAGCACAGGGGAAAGGAAAAAUGUUACGGCGUGUGGAUAGAUCAACACACUUGCUCAUCAAUAGCGCGUGUGCUUUGUUCUCCAAAUGCCGAAGAACAGCAAAUUGGCAGCCUCUGCAGAUCUAAAAAUAGAUCAGCAGGUCUACAAUAGAUCAAAUAAAUGGUCGCAGUGGACUCAUGGCAAUCAAACAAAAAAAAAAUGCUGACCGAAACCUGGCUGGCAGCUCAAUAAAUGCUGUGCAGCUGUUCGGGAAUGCUUUUGAAGUGUUCUCUACUCAUCGCAAUGCCAGAAACAGCCGUCGUACCGUGGGUGGCGGUGUACUCAUAGCUGUUCGGAAGUCCUUGGAUUCGACUGUAUGCGCUGAAGCUGCUGCUGUAAAUCUUGAACAAAUCUUCGUCAAAAUUCAGCUGAAGACGCAGAAGUUAUUUGCCGGCUGUCUCUAUCUACCUUCUGAAAAAAGUUACGAACAUCAAUUGGUGGACUUGCUGACCCAGGUGAUUAUAUUGUGGUCGCAACGCGAGUUUGCGCGAACUCAAAAAGCAACGAGCUGCUGCCCUCGAGCGAUACACCCAGCACCGCGGGCCGAUUACACAUGCUGUAUUCAAAGCUGCCAGUUCACGAUACAAAUCCUACAACAAGCGCUGUUACAAAAGCUACAUCCGCAAGACAUAAGCAAAUCUUCGUCGCAACCCGUCGCAGUUCUGGUCCUUUGCCGAAUCCAAAUACAAAGAAAAUGACCUGCCCGCUACUAUGGUUUAAGGUGAGACUGUAGCCAAAACGAACGCCGAAAAGUGCACCCUCUUCGCCCAACACUUUGCGUCUGUUUUUCAACAACCUGGUCCGGCGCCUGCCUCUGAACAGCAUCUGGAACUGGUACCGCGCGACAUCAUUUGUGCUCAAAUAGAGCUUUUGGGUUUGAUAUCACCUCGUCCGUCCUUGAGACUAACUUUUGUGAUGUAUCCCUGUUUACUCUACACAGUUAGCUGAUCGGCAAACUCGUUCCCCAUGAUCCCACAGUGCCCAGGUACUCAGGCGGGACAGCUCCCGUAGUACGUCGAUGCAGUCCUAAACGAGUUUGGACUCCACCCUUGCGGCUUUCAGAGCUAGCAGUGCUGCCUGGCUGUCCGAGAAUAUACCGAUUUUCGCAUGCCUAUAGUUCUUACUAAGGCAAUGCACAGUGCAGGAGUAUAUAGCAUAGACUUCUGCUUGGGGCCAUCUACCCAUUGAGAUGGAUAGUUUGAUCCCUGGUCUAAAGAUCCCAGCUCCAGUGAGAUUACCUAUUUUGGAGCCAUCUGUAUAGAAGCAGAUAGUUCCUGGUGGAAGUUCUGGCCCCCCAGCACACCAGAGCCUACGAGUUUCCCUUCGUUACCGACGUUUCGGCUUAUAUUUUGAAGCCUUCUUCAUAUACCGUGUGAAUUGUAACAACUGCGACAACAAAUACAUCGGCAUGACCAGCAAUCUCCUAAAAACAAGAUUGUCUGGACAUCGUAGCGAUGUCAACAGAUUGGACAAACUGCUACAAUCUGGACACAGCUACUCCGAUGUAGAAGUACAAGCGACAAGGGAGAAGACAGCUAUGAUAUCGCACUGUAUCGACAGUGGUCACCGUUUCGAUCUCACACAAGCAGAAAUAUUGGAUCAAACCUUUAAGAGGUCGUCUCUCUCACUCCUUGAGAUGAUUUGGAUCCAUAACACCCAAGACA
Long non-coding RNA from Culex pipiens pallens (northern house mosquito), 6668 nucleotides. RefSeq lists it as uncharacterized. The transcript is spliced from 3 exons. The record is from RefSeq and is a predicted model, not a curated record. NCBI's taxonomy places the organism in Eukaryota, Metazoa, Arthropoda, Insecta, Diptera, Culicidae.